CCUACGGGAGGCAGCAGUGGGGAAUAUUGGACAAUGGGCGAAAGCCUGAUCCAGCAAUGCCGCGUGAGUGAUGAAGGCCUUAGGGUCGUAAAGCUCUUUUACCCGGGAUGAUAAUGACAGUACCGGGAGAAUAAGCCCCGGCUAACUCCGUGCCAGCAGCCGCGGUAAUACGGAGGGGGCUAGCGUUGUUCGGAAUUACUGGGCGUAAAGCGUACGUAGGCGGUUAUUCAAGUCAGAGGUGAAAGCCCGGGGCUCAACCCCGGAACGGCCUUUGAAACUAGAUAGCUAGAGUCUUGGAGAGGUCAGUGGAAUUCCGAGUGUAGAGGUGAAAUUCGUAGAUAUUCGGAAGAACACCAGUGGCGAAGGCGACUGACUGGACAAGUACUGACGCUGAGGUACGAAAGCGUGGGGAGCAAACAGGAUUAGAUACCCUGGUAGUCCACGCCGUAAACGAUGAUAACUAGCUGUCCGGGUACUUGGUAUCUGGGUGGCGCAGCUAACGCAUUAAGUUAUCCGCCUGGGGAGUACGGUCGCAAGNUUAAAACUUAAGGAAUUGACGG
Molecule: ribosomal RNA, 560 nt
Filed under: uncultured bacterium
Lineage: Bacteria
Description: bacterial SSU rRNA
Rfam family: Bacterial small subunit ribosomal RNA
Source: RNAcentral